UUAUGUAGAUGCCUAUACUGUUAAUGCACUAUAUCCUAUUGGAAAUCUAUCGUUAAGUGUGCUUGGGAUAAAGUAGUACUAGGAUGAGUGAGCUCUCAAGAAGUCCUAGUGUUUUACAUGCC
Molecule: non-coding RNA, 122 nt
Organism: Picea glauca (white spruce)
Lineage: Eukaryota; Viridiplantae; Streptophyta; Pinopsida; Pinales; Pinaceae
Source: Rfam